This 81-nucleotide transfer RNA is filed under the name Gloeophyllum trabeum ATCC 11539. RNAcentral's name for it is "tRNA-Ala". It matches the Rfam family "tRNA". From Rfam's summary of the family: Transfer RNA (tRNA) molecules are approximately 80 nucleotides in length. Their secondary structure includes four short double-helical elements and three loops (D, anti-codon, and T loops). The record is from RNAcentral. Lineage: Eukaryota; Fungi; Basidiomycota; Agaricomycetes; Gloeophyllales; Gloeophyllaceae.
GGGCACUUGGUGUAGAUGGUUAUCACGCUCGCUUAGCAUCUCGUUUGCGAGAGGGGACCGGUUCAAUUCCGGUAGUGUCCA